RNAcentral lists this transfer RNA (77 nucleotides) under Candidatus Collierbacteria bacterium. RNAcentral describes it as "tRNA-Val". It matches the Rfam family "tRNA". From Rfam's summary of the family: Transfer RNA (tRNA) molecules are approximately 80 nucleotides in length. Their secondary structure includes four short double-helical elements and three loops (D, anti-codon, and T loops). Lineage: Bacteria; Candidatus Collieribacteriota. The record is from RNAcentral.
GGGCUCGUAGCUCAGCUGGCUAGAGCGCUGCAUUGACAUUGCAGAGGUCACUGGUUCGAGUCCAGUCGGGCCCACCA